Molecule: ribosomal RNA, 423 nt
Filed under: uncultured bacterium
Lineage: Bacteria
Description: bacterial SSU rRNA
Rfam family: Bacterial small subunit ribosomal RNA
Source: RNAcentral
AUUGAACGCUGGCGGCAUGCCUUACACAUGCAAGUCGAACGGCAGCACGGGAGCAAUCCUGGUGGCGAGUGGCGAACGGGUGAGUAAUAUAUCGGAACGUGCCCGGUCGUGGGGAUAACGUAGCGAAAGCUACGCUAAUACCGCAUACGAUCUACGGAUGAAAGCGGGGGAUCGCAAGACCUCGCGCGAUUGGAGCGGCCGAUAUCAGAUUAGGUAGUUGGUGAGGUAAAGGCUCACCAAGCCGACGAUCUGUAGCUGGUCUGAGAGGACGACCAGCCACACUGGGACUGAGACACGGCCCAGACUCCUACGGGAGGCAGCAGUGGGGAAUUUUGGACAAUGGGCGCAAGCCUGAUCCAGCAAUGCCGCGUGCAGGAUGAAGGCCUCGGUGUAACGUAGACUUUUGUUACGGUACGAAACGGU